GUAGGUGAACCUGCGGAAGGAUCAUUACAAAUCCAUCCAUUCUCCGACACCCGUUGCACCCGGCCGCCCGCCGCGCCGCUGCAUCGUUCGCGAUGCGGCAGCCGCGGCGCGCCUAUUUGGCGCCCCGGACCGAUGAUCCCACGAACGUAUACACACACAACCUAGAAACAACUUAUAACAAUGGAUCUCUAGGCUCUUGCAUCGAUGAAGAACGCAGCAUCUGACUGACUUGGGAUGCAUGCAUCUCGUA
This 250-nucleotide unclassified non-coding RNA is filed under the name plant metagenome. RNAcentral describes it as "partial contains small subunit ribosomal RNA, internal transcribed spacer 1, and 5.8S ribosomal RNA". The record is from RNAcentral.